UCCAAAGUGUGCCACCUCCAGUGAGCCUC
This 29-nucleotide non-coding RNA is filed under the name Homo sapiens (human). The record is from RNAcentral. Lineage: Eukaryota; Metazoa; Chordata; Mammalia; Primates; Hominidae.